AACCUUUCCUAUUCUCAAUCAAGCAAGAAUACAAUAAAGUAAAAUGUUGAAUGCUUAUUGAUAUAUAACGAUAUAAAUAUUUCCUUUCAGUAACUCAAUUCUGAAUUGAUCAACUUAAGUCUAAAAGCUAAUCUUGAGUGAUGUUCUUCGGAAGAAAAAUAUCAGUAGAAGUCAUUUGGUUUGCCAAUUUUAAUGCCUUGUUCACUCAAGAACCCUGUUAUUGCAUUCUUCUGCCAGCCCUUGAAACUCUUGUGAUCAAGGUGUGCAAUGAUCUCUCCACCUGGGAAAGCAAAUUUAGUAGCCUCGUAUGCUGCUUUAAUUGCUUCUUUCCAGCUCCCGCCGAUACCUUUGUUGUUUGUUUCACCAUUCGACUGGUUCGGAUUUUCCAUUGGCAAUGAAUAUCCAGAGAGCAAGUGGCUUAUCCAAACUCCAUCUUUUAGAACUAUGUCCAUGUGGCGAGGUGCAUAAUGUCCACCCCCAACGCCAAGAAGGACUUUAUUGUUCUUGCUAUGUUCCCUGUUCCAGUUUCCUACAUCGUUUCCUCCUCCAAUAGCAAGUCCUUCCCAGACAAGUAGAGCAACAACACGGGCAGCAUCUAGCCUCCUCCAAUACUCGUCUGUACUGCCAAUUUCCAGAAACAGAGUUGGUUUAUUUGUCACAGGUCCAUGAUGAGUACCCUCCAACGUAAUCUCGAACUCUGGCACUAAGUUAUGGGAUUGUGCAAUGCUCUUCAAUAGCCUCAGCCAGGGACCUAUACGAGGACUCGGCGGCGCCGCCCAUCCAGGCUUCCCUCCUUGCGGCGGAACUUCACCAUCUCGCAAAUGAGGAACCCCAAUCGGAUGAACGGUGAGUGCAGGACGAUUCGAAACGGCAGUAUGCCGGCUGAAGAAAAUGACCUCGUCCACAACCUCGCCGGUGAGCUCCUCCCAACGAGUGUCGAGGUCGUCUUCAACAACAAUACUCCUGUCGUGUUGCAGCAGCCUCACGUCUCGAUUGGUGAAGCUUUUCAUUUCCUGGAGAGGAGGGCCGGGAAGCCAUCCGGGCAUGGCGAGAAGCUCGUUUGCAGGAUUGAUAGAUGCUGGAUCGAUUGUCGUUGCCACCACUAGCGUCACCAUGGUUGGCCCUGUCUGCUGCAAUUUCAGGGAAUUGG
This 1150-nucleotide unclassified non-coding RNA is filed under the name Hevea brasiliensis (rubber tree). Lineage: Eukaryota; Viridiplantae; Streptophyta; Magnoliopsida; Malpighiales; Euphorbiaceae. The record is from RNAcentral.